UACGGAGGGCGCAAGCGUUGUCCGGAAUUAUUGGGCGUAAAGAGCUCGUAGGCGGCUUGUCACGUCGGAUGUGAAAGCCCGGGGCUUAACCCCGGGUCUGCAUUCGAUACGGGCUAGCUAGAGUGUGGUAGGGGAGAUCGGAAUUCCUGGUGUAGCGGUGAAAUGCGCAGAUAUCAGGAGGAACACCGGUGGCGAAGGCGGAUCUCUGGGCCAUUACUGACGCUGAGGAGCGAAAGCGUGGGGAGCAAACAGG
Molecule: ribosomal RNA, 253 nt
Filed under: uncultured bacterium
Lineage: Bacteria
Description: partial 16S ribosomal RNA
Rfam family: Bacterial small subunit ribosomal RNA
Source: RNAcentral